Long non-coding RNA from Eptesicus fuscus (big brown bat), 261 nucleotides. RefSeq lists it as uncharacterized. NCBI's taxonomy places the organism in Eukaryota, Metazoa, Chordata, Mammalia, Chiroptera, Vespertilionidae. The transcript has 3 exons. The record is from RefSeq and is a predicted model, not a curated record.
AAACAUGGCCGGCCCCCAAAUGCUUCGACAUUCCUUCCAUUGAGAAGUCAAGGGUCGAUGUCCUCUCCCUUGAAUCUGAUCAGGUGGCAUAAAAGCACUUGUAUGCCAGAUACUGUUCCAAGUGAAUACAUUUAAUCUUCAGACUGAUCCCAGGAGUUAUGAAACACUAGGAGCCCAGCGUGCAAUUCGAAAUCGCGCGGCGCCGCCCACCCUCGAGUCGCCUGUCUGGCCCUGCCUCGCUCCCCGGGACCCCCAGCAGCC